CUCUUAUGGAGAGUUUGAUCCUGGCUCAGGACGAACGCUGGCGGCAUGCCUAAUACAUGCAAGUCGAGCGAACU
Molecule: ribosomal RNA, 74 nt
Filed under: Sporosarcina sp. P20a
Lineage: Bacteria; Bacillati; Bacillota; Bacilli; Caryophanales; Caryophanaceae
Description: partial 16S ribosomal RNA
Rfam family: Bacterial small subunit ribosomal RNA
Source: RNAcentral